GGAGCACUCUCACACUGAGAAGCUGAGCAGAGAGCGGUCUGCAGGAAGGAAGCCAUUACCCUCCGGACAGAGCCUUGCAGCAAAGCUCAAGACAAAGGCCCAGGACUCCUCCUCCAGGUGAUGCUGCCGUACCUGGGAGAGACCUGGAGCCUGGGACAAGCAGUCAUGGAGCUUUGGAGAUGGGCAGGAUGAACGGUAACACUUCAGUAGCAUCAUGUUGAAAGAGGCCAACAUGAUGGGCAGUGUCAGCUCUGCCACCCUGCAUCAUGGACUCCUGGUCAGCUGGAGUCCGUAAGGUCCUGCUGUGUGUGGCCACUGCUUCUCUCUCCUUUCUUUCCUCCUGUUCUUGGCCACCAGAGGUCCUCCUGUGGAGCUGGCAUCAGGGCACUCAGGCAGGGCACUGUGUGAAGGGAAAUCACAGUGGGGAAUGUGGGUAAGCAACUUGGAGUUGCUGCCAGGGUCAUCACUGGUCUGGGCACCUCCACUUAUGCAGAACGAUAGAAGCUAGAUGUUACCUGAUCUUGCAAGAAGUCUUGCAAGAGUUAGGCCAGGCCAAGACUCUGGUCCAUCUUCACCAGCUGUGCAAGCGCUGGCAGGGACUGACUGUGUCCCUGAAAAGUGAGCCUGUGCUGCCACUCACAGUGGACACCCUUGUGUGUCAGGCUAAGCCUCUUAUGCACAUUUCCUCAAUCCUCAUGCACCCCAGUGAAAGACAGACAUCAUUUCUAAUGUAGAGUUGCAGAACGGGCUGCUCAGGAGAACCAGUGUUCACUUCCUUCAUGGCUGCAUAGCUGCCUAGCGGCACAGUGAGGAUUCAAAGCCCUCUGCCGGGCUCUAAAACACAGUCAAGUGUUUACCACAGAGCUGGUAGGAGCUAAGCCUCAGGCUCCUCAUUUGGACAGGGCCCUUCAGGGCCUAGCAAUGUGAGUGUAUGGUCUGUGCUUUUAGAAAAUGUACACAAAUGGAAAACAAUACGAGGUUAAUAGAUUGUUUUCUUAGUGAGUUAGAACUAUGCUGUCUUCCUUUCCUCAAACUUGCUGCAGUGUUGGGUAGAGCUGGGCAUUUGGGGGACCAGCUAAGAGGAAUUUGGGCUGGGGACAUAACUCAGCUCGAGUUUAGUGGGAUAUGUUUGUGGGGCUGGCUCACAGUCUCUUCUGGAAAAGUUGUCACCAGCUGUCCCACUGGAGGAACAGCUUCCAGGAACAUUCUGCUCCCGGUCCCCACUCACCUACAUCCUGAUGCAAAUGUACAGAGCCACAGCCUGGGUUGCAUGUGUGAACUUGGCUUGUGUCUUCAGCACAGGAAGUAUGUGGAAAAUGGAGAAGAAACAAGAAAACAAAACAAACAAGCAAACAGAAAAACCCUUAACAAUCAAAAUUGAAUCUUUCUAUUCUCUCUAUGGAUAAUGAUCAUGUUGGGCAGCUAAUUAAUCAACUACUGUUAUUUUUCUGCAUUUCAUUAUGGCUUGUUUUAUCAGCCUUUUAAAAUUUGUAAAUUGUGGGGAUCUCUCUACAUUUCAAACAGCUACUUUUGCAGUUAAUUUUGUGCUUGUUGUUUAUUAAAAUUCCCCCCCCACCCAUUUCAUGCUAG
This 1590-nucleotide long non-coding RNA is filed under the name Heterocephalus glaber (naked mole-rat). RNAcentral describes it as "lncRNA (ENSHGLG00100033360.1)". Lineage: Eukaryota; Metazoa; Chordata; Mammalia; Rodentia; Bathyergidae. The record is from RNAcentral.